UAGACUCGCAAGCUGAAAAAAAAAAAAAAAAAAAAAAAAAAAAAA
RNAcentral lists this non-coding RNA (45 nucleotides) under Prorocentrum micans. The record is from RNAcentral. Lineage: Eukaryota; Dinophyceae; Prorocentrales; Prorocentraceae.